RNAcentral lists this ribosomal RNA (679 nucleotides) under uncultured fungus. Its description in RNAcentral is "eukaryotic LSU rRNA". The stretch from base 296 to 449 matches the Rfam family "5.8S ribosomal RNA". The record is from RNAcentral. Lineage: Eukaryota; Fungi.
UCUUGGUCAUUUAGAGGAAGUAAAAGUCGUAACAAGGUUUCCGUAGGUGAACCUGCGGAAGGAUCAUUAACGAAAAAAAUUAAUCGAGGGUUGAUGCUGGCAGUCUUUGAUCAGCUGCAUCGUGCUUGCUCUUGUUAAUUCCUUCUUAAAAAAUAUUUACACUUGUGCACUUGAUUUUUUUGAAGGGGUUAGGGUUAGGGUUAGAACUCUACUCUACCUUUUUAAAAAAAAGACUUGAUAAAACUCUUAAUUGGAUUAAUGGAUGUUUACUUGCUGCAAGGCAAAAAUUUAAUACAACUUUUAACAAUGGAUCUCUUGGCUCUCGCAUCGAUGAAGGACGCAGCGAAAUGCGAUAAGUAAUGUGAAUUGCAGAAUUCAGUGAAUCAUCGAAUCUUUGAACGCACAUUGCGCCCAUUAGUAUUCUAGUGGGCAUGCCUGUUCGAGCGUCAUUUCAACCCUUAAGCCUAGCUUAGCGUUGGGAGACUGCGCUAAACCGCAGCUCCUCAAAACCAGUGGCGGAGUCCUCUCGUACUCUGAGCGUAGUAAUUCUUUAUCUCGCUUCUGCAAGUACGGUUGACGACAGCCAUAAACCGCACCCUCUCGGGGGGCACUUUUUAAUGGUUGACCUCGGAUCAUGUAGGAAUACCCGCUGAACUUAAGCAUAUCAAUAAGCGGAGGA